RNAcentral lists this ribosomal RNA (315 nucleotides) under Taito sp. MZSP 73105. RNAcentral's name for it is "partial small subunit ribosomal RNA". The record is from RNAcentral. Lineage: Eukaryota; Metazoa; Arthropoda; Arachnida; Opiliones; Cosmetidae.
CCCUAGUAUGAAAAGUUAUAAUUAAUUAUUAUGUAAUGAAAAUUAAAAUUUUUGGCGGUUAAAUCUUAUUUAGAGGAGCUUGUUUUGUUAUAGUAAUUACUCUUUUUAUUUAAUUAUUCAUAUGUUUAUUUAUCUCCGUUAUUAGAUUUUUAAAUUAAAUAAGAAGAUCCUUAUAUUUCAGGUCAAGAUGUAGCAAUGAUUAAGAAAAUUAGCUACAUUUAUGUAAAAAUGGAUUUUUGUUUGAAAAAAAAGAUGAAAUUGAAUUUAAUUGUAAUAUAAUUUAGAAAGAUUAUAUGAAUUUUUACAUUUUAUGUA